This 247-nucleotide ribosomal RNA is filed under the name uncultured bacterium. RNAcentral describes it as "partial 16S ribosomal RNA". It matches the Rfam family "Bacterial small subunit ribosomal RNA", at positions 523 to 769 of the family's 1533-position model. The record is from RNAcentral.
AUACGUAGGACCCGAGCGUUGUCCGGAAUUACUGGGUGUAAAGGGUGCGUAGGCGGACUUGUGCGUCAGAGGUUAAAGAUCACAGCUCAACUGUGGGAGUGCCUUUGAUACGGCAAGUCUUGAGUGCGAGAGAGGAUGAUAGAAUUCCUGGUGUAGCAGUGAAAUGCGUAGAUAUCAGGAGGAAUACCAGUGGCGAAGGCGGUCAUCUGGCUCGUUACUGACGCUGAGGCACGAAAGCGUGGGGAUC